GAUGAACGCUGGCGGCGUGCCUAAUACAUGCAAGUCGAGCGAACAGACGAGGAGCUUGCUCCUCUGACGUUAGCGGCGGACGGGUGAGUAACACGUGGAUAACCUACCUAUAAGACUGGGAUAACUUCGGGAAACCGGAGCUAAUACCGGAUAAUAUAUUGAACCGCAUGGUUCAAUAGUGAAAGACGGUUUUGCUGUCACUUAUAGAUGGAUCCGCGCCGCAUUAGCUAGUUGGUAAGGUAACGGCUUACCAAGGCAACGAUGCGUAGCCGACCUGAGGGGGUAAACGGCCACACUGGAACUGAGACACGGUCCAGACUGCUACGGGAGGCAGCAGUAGGGAAUCAUCCGCAAUGGGCGAAAGCUUGACGGAGCAACGCCGCGUGAGUGAUGAAGGUCUUCGGAUCGUAAAACUCUGUUAUUAGGGAAGAACAAAUGUGUAAGUAACUAUGCACGUCUUGACGGUACCUAAUCAGAAAGCCACGGCUAACUACGUG
Molecule: ribosomal RNA, 497 nt
Filed under: uncultured bacterium
Lineage: Bacteria
Description: partial 16S ribosomal RNA
Rfam family: Bacterial small subunit ribosomal RNA
Source: RNAcentral